This is a long non-coding RNA of Nematostella vectensis (starlet sea anemone), 325 nucleotides long. RefSeq lists it as uncharacterized. The record is from RefSeq and is a predicted model, not a curated record. The transcript has 3 exons. Lineage: Eukaryota; Metazoa; Cnidaria; Anthozoa; Actiniaria; Edwardsiidae.
UUAGACUUCGUUUCGGAGUCAAAUUAUUCUAUAGCUCGUGAUAAAAGAUCUUAUCCUCUCUUGGUCGUGCGGUGCGCGGGAUUUACCCGAGUGAAAGGCGCACUCACAUAAAAUCCGAGAUAUUGCGCAUAUGGUGUCAGAAAGUGGGGAGUGGCAAUUAUGUCAGAUUGCAUCAUACCGUGGGUACCAGAGGCUACACGCUUCAAUACAAAAGAGCCGUAAACCGGCGACAACGACUGAGUACCAAGGUAACCGAAACACCGAAUUCAUAAUUUGCCGAAUGCCGCAAUUAAGGAGUUUUCGUCUGUUUGAUUUAAGGGGAAUA